This is a long non-coding RNA of Sander lucioperca (pikeperch), 1636 nucleotides long. RefSeq lists it as uncharacterized. The transcript has 2 exons. The record is from RefSeq and is a predicted model, not a curated record. Lineage: Eukaryota; Metazoa; Chordata; Actinopteri; Perciformes; Percidae.
UAAACUGAACCAUUUCACAGCUGUUUUGGGAUGGUUUUCCAAAUAAAAACGGGGAGAUAUUCGUCCCGCUGGAGCCUCGGUUAACGGAUACUCUGCAUUUUCUAUUGUUUAGUUAUUUCUUUGUUUGCUAUGCUAUGCUAUAUUUGUAUAGCGCUCCUUUCCAAAUUACAAAGUGCUUUAAAAAAUCUUGAAUAUGUUUUUAAUUAUUUUGCACCUUGUCCGAAUGCUUUCUCUUCUUUUUGUGUUUUUUUUCCUCAUGCUGAUUUGCCCUCUAAUGGCGAGAUGUAUUCUAACCUCAAUGAGGGACUUGUACAGUGUUACACUCCUGUUUUCUCUUUUCACCCAAAUGAGAGUCGGAUUUAGGCCACGUUACCUGCCUCAGUUUAAUUUCAACAUCGCUCUCAGAUUGUCGAGCAGAGCACUUCGAAUCCAACCCUCCGACUGAAGCUUUAGUUCUCCGGUCCGUCCUCGGAGAUAUAGCGGCUCUGAAAGCAGAAAUGUUCUCAUUGGUUCGGCUAAACUUCCCGAAAAGUCAGAUUAUCCGGCUGAUUAUGUAUUCACAUGUUGACUGUUUCUGAUAUAAUAGAAAAUCAAGGCGACAGGAAAUCGCCCCUUAAUCUCAAAACUGCAUAUUUCUCAUUUUUAAAAAACAUAUUUAGAUGCAUGGUGUCUUUGUUAUUACAUUCAAGUCAAAGAGUAUCUUUUGAAUUAAACUGAAGGGAAUCAAUCAGGGAUUACAGAAUAUGGCUAAGAGUCAUGUGACAUUCAAAUUCAAUUAACCAGAGGGGCACCCGGAGAGCGCAGACCUCCGUGAAAGGCUGCCGUUCAUCUGCAUGUACGACAGAAGAGAAAAUCUGCAGACUUUCCCUUAAGUUACCAGCUAACGGUAGCAGUUGCUAGCUAGCUUGGUCAUAUUUUUCAAAAACUAAUAUCGUAGUCCUGCAAUGUGUGACCCUGCAAGAUCCCCAGUCUAACAUAUUAUGACAUUAUGUCGUCAACGUUAGAUGUGAGAUGAUUGUCUUUAGAUGUGAGAUGGUGUCUGACCUUAGUCUUUUCAAAGUCUGUUCAGAGUCGUCUAGUAUAUGGAAGGCAUUAGCUAACAUUUACAUCUUUUAGGCCCCACCCAACACAUUUGAACUGAACCAAUGAGAUUGUUCCUGCUCUGUGGGCUGUUUUGCUUUAAAUAAACUAACUGAUGAUGAUAACGUGGCCUUGGUCUGGCCUGCGGCCGUGUUACAUUACGCCUUGUGGCUGUAUAAAAUAAGCCUGUAUGAACCUAGUGUCUUCUGGUGAGCUACAUGUGUGUAUGUGGGUAUAUACACACCGUGUUGCUAUUUAUUUAUGUAAUGUAUGUAUUUAUUUAUUUAUUCCUGCGUCCUCUUUAUCGGUUCGGCACCUGUGGCGUAUUUGACGGUUGUCAAUACAUCGGUGUAUGAUGUGUAGGUAUGGAGGGAGGGAGGGUGAAGGGAUAUUUGGGUGUGGGGUGGGGGCUUGGUCAAUGGGAAAACCUAGCUGUGAUAUUAACUAUCUAACUGAUACUAAUAUAAUCUAAGACCACUGUAUGUAUAUCUGCUUGUCGUGAAGAUGAUCUACAAUGUAAUGACAAUAAAGAAUUAACACUAUGAUAAACUCUGCA